RNAcentral lists this ribosomal RNA (216 nucleotides) under Glomeromycotina sp. MIB 8366. RNAcentral's name for it is "partial small subunit ribosomal RNA". The stretch from base 40 to 216 matches the Rfam family "Eukaryotic small subunit ribosomal RNA", at positions 686 to 864 of the family's 1831-position model. Lineage: Eukaryota; Fungi; Glomeromycota. The record is from RNAcentral.
GGGUCAGUAGUUUGGUCGUGCCACUGGUAUGUACUGGGCUCACUGAUUCCUCCUUCCUGAUGAACUGUAAUGCCAUUAAUUUGGUGUUGCGGGGAAACUGGACUGUUACUUUGAAAAAAUUAGAGUGUUUAAAGCAAGCUAACGCUUGAAUACAUUAGCAUGGAAUAAUGAAAUAGGACGUUCGAUCCUAUUUUGUUGGUUUCUAGGAUCGACGUA